UGGUGCCUCGAUUGAUCACAGUGGGUUGCUAUAGUUUGACUUUAUAUAAACAUGGUCCCUAGCCAUAUGGAUCCUUAUAGUGAAUGUUGGUUAUAGUAGGUUCACUAUAAGAGUAGGAGUACAAUUAUAGUGGAUUUAUCGAUCUUAGUAGUUAAGGAGUAGCCCUAUGCAACUUAAGAGAUUGAGUCCAUAAGUCUAUGGCCAUAGCAGUGUGAUUAUGAAAAAAAUUUUUCAUGAGAUUCACAAUUGGACUCAAGCUAAUUAAGUCUGGCAUAUGACAGAUGCUUAGGGUUUGACGUGGUUUCAUGACCUACAUCCUGUUGGGACUCUCGAUAGAGAAACUUGAUCACAUAGUAACUACACU
RNAcentral lists this long non-coding RNA (364 nucleotides) under Elaeis guineensis (African oil palm). RNAcentral's name for it is "long non-coding RNA (EGUI_LNC046020)". Lineage: Eukaryota; Viridiplantae; Streptophyta; Magnoliopsida; Arecales; Arecaceae. The record is from RNAcentral.